GUUGUUUUGGCAGAAUAGUGUGAUGGAUUUAGAAUCUUUUUAUGUAAAUAAUUUACAAGCAAUA
This 64-nucleotide transfer RNA is filed under the name Romualdius bifoveolatus. RNAcentral describes it as "tRNA-Leu". Lineage: Eukaryota; Metazoa; Arthropoda; Insecta; Coleoptera; Curculionidae. The record is from RNAcentral.